Molecule: ribosomal RNA, 741 nt
Filed under: Myxobolus shantungensis
Lineage: Eukaryota; Metazoa; Cnidaria; Myxozoa; Bivalvulida; Myxobolidae
Description: SSU rRNA
Rfam family: Eukaryotic small subunit ribosomal RNA
Source: RNAcentral
ACUCCAGUAGUUUGCUUUAAAGUUGUUGCGUUUAAAACGCUCGUAGUUGGAUCAUGCAACAGUGUACGGUAAUCUAUACACUCGGUGGGAAUAUUCUGAGUGUUCAUCGAAAGAUGGGGCUCGAAGUCCCGCCGAUGUUAGAUAUAAAAGCUGGACACUGUUAAUUGCACGUGAGAUGGAUUGUUGACCUUUGGUGCGUCGGUAAUCCUGUCUUGCGGAGUGUGCCUUGAAUAAAACAGAGUGCUUAAAGCAGGUUUACGCCUGAAUGUUAUAGCAUGGAACGAACAAUAGUGUAUUAGUGCAUGAUUUCGGGCAGCGAUCGAUCUAUGGUUUGUUGCUGUCGGGGAGGUGCACAUCACCCACCAAAAUAUGGCUGUUGGUUCCAUAUACGGUGAUGAUUAAAAGGAGCGGUUGGGGGCAUCGGUAUUUGGCCGCGAGAGGUGAAAUUCUUGGACCGGCCAAGGACUAACAAAUGCAAAGGCACCUGUCUAGACCGUAUCCAUUAAUCAAGAACGAAAGUGGGAGGUUCGAAGACGAUCAGAUACCGUCCUAGUUCCCACUGUAAACUAUGCCGACCUGGGAUCAGUUUAGAGAUGCUACAAGCUCUAAAUUGGUCCCCCUGGGAAACCUCAAGUUUUUCGGUUACGGGGAGAGUAUGGUCGCAAGGCUGAAACUUAAAGGAAUUGACGGAAGGGCACCACCAGGGGUGGAGCCUGCGGCUUAAUUUGACUCAACACGGGA